GUGCUCACUUAGGCAACACGUAUACUAAAAUCAGAAAAAUACAGAGAAGAUUAAUGUGGUUCCUGCUAAGGAUGACACACAAAUUUGUGAAGCAUUCCAUAUUUUU
Loxodonta africana (African savanna elephant) is the source of this 106-nucleotide small nuclear RNA. The record is from Ensembl. NCBI's taxonomy places the organism in Eukaryota, Metazoa, Chordata, Mammalia, Proboscidea, Elephantidae.